MicroRNA precursor from Ailuropoda melanoleuca (giant panda), 56 nucleotides. NCBI's taxonomy places the organism in Eukaryota, Metazoa, Chordata, Mammalia, Carnivora, Ursidae. The record is from Ensembl.
UUCAUGAGCUGCAAUCUCAUCACUGGAAUGUUCCAGCGACUGGACAAGCUGAGGAA